RNAcentral lists this ribosomal RNA (543 nucleotides) under uncultured bacterium. RNAcentral describes it as "bacterial SSU rRNA". It matches the Rfam family "Bacterial small subunit ribosomal RNA", at positions 777 to 1319 of the family's 1533-position model. The record is from RNAcentral.
AAUAGAUACCCCGGUAGUCCACGCCGUAAACGAUGAGUGCUAAGUGUUAGGGGGUUUCCGCCCCUUAGUGCUGCAGCUAACGCAUUAAGCACUCCGCCUGGGGAGUACGGUCGCAAGACUGAAACUCAAAGGAAUUGACGGGGGCCCGCACAAGCGGUGGAGCAUGUGGUUUAAUUCGAAGCAACGCGAAGAACCUUACCAGGUCUUGACAUCCCAUUGACCGCUAUGGAGACAUAGCUUUCCCUUCGGGGACAGUGGUGACAGGUGGUGCAUGGUUGUCGUCAGCUCGUGUCGUGAGAUGUUGGGUUAAGUCCCGCAACGAGCGCAACCCUUGUUCUUAGUUGCCAUCAUUUAGUUGGGCACUCUAAGGAGACUGCCGGUGACAAACCGGAGGAAGGUGGGGAUGACGUCAAAUCAUCAUGCCCCUUAUGACCUGGGCUACACACGUGCUACAAUGGACGGUACAAACGGUUGCCAACCCGCGAGGGGAGCUAAUCCGAUAAAACCGUUCUCAGUUCGGAUUGUAGGCUGCAACUCGCCUAC